UACGUAGGGUGCGAGCGUUAAUCGGAAUUACUGGGCGUAAAGCGUGCGCAGGCGGCGCGUUAAGUCAGGUGUGAAAGCCCCGGGCUUAACUUGGGAAUUGCGCUUGAGACUGGCGUGCUGGAGUGUGGCAGAGGGAGGUGGAAUUCCACGUGUAGCAGUGAAAUGCGUAGAGAUGUGGAGGAACACCGAUGGCGAAGGCAGCCCCCUGGGCCAGCACUGACGCUGAUGCACGAAAGCGUGGGGAGCAAACAGG
RNAcentral lists this ribosomal RNA (253 nucleotides) under uncultured bacterium. Its description in RNAcentral is "partial 16S ribosomal RNA". It matches the Rfam family "Bacterial small subunit ribosomal RNA", at positions 524 to 776 of the family's 1533-position model. The record is from RNAcentral.